GCCCUCGUCGUUCAGUGGUCUAGGACACCGGGUUUUCAUCUCGGGAACAGGGGUUCGAACCCCCUCGAGGGUG
Molecule: transfer RNA, 73 nt
Filed under: Spirochaetota bacterium
Lineage: Bacteria; Pseudomonadati; Spirochaetota
Description: tRNA-Glu
Rfam family: tRNA
About the family: Transfer RNA (tRNA) molecules are approximately 80 nucleotides in length. Their secondary structure includes four short double-helical elements and three loops (D, anti-codon, and T loops).
Source: RNAcentral